AUUGAACGCUGGCGGCAGGCCUAACACAUGCAAGUCGAGCGGAUGAAGGGAGCUUGCUCCUGGAUUCAGCGGCGGACGGGUGAGUAAUGCUUAGGAAUCUGCCUGGUAGUGGGGGAUAACGUCCGGAAACGGGCGCUAAUACCGCAUACGUCCUGAGGGAGAAAGUGGGGGAUCUUCGGACCUCACGCUAUCAGAUGAGCCUAGGUCGGAUUAGCUAGUUGGUGGGGUAAAGGCCUACCAAGGCGACGAUCCGUAACUGGUCUGAGAGGAUGAUCAGUCACACUGGAACUGAGACACGGUCCAGACUCCUACGGGAGGCAGCAGUGGGGAAUAUUGGACAAUGGGCGAAAGCCUGAUCCAGCCAUGCCGCGUGUGUGAAGAAGGUCUUCGGAUUGUAAAGCACUUUAAGUUGGGAGGAAGGGCAGUAAGUUAAUACCUUGCUGUUUUGGCGUUACCAACAGAAUAAGCACUGGCUAACUUCGUG
RNAcentral lists this ribosomal RNA (484 nucleotides) under uncultured bacterium. Its description in RNAcentral is "partial 16S ribosomal RNA". It matches the Rfam family "Bacterial small subunit ribosomal RNA", at positions 30 to 507 of the family's 1533-position model. The record is from RNAcentral.